GCGUGUCGACCACUGUAGUGAUCGCAGUACUGGAUUCAGCUUCUGAAUGGUUUCCAUGGUGUCUUGAAGUAACAGAUAUCCACCAGGUCUCAGUAUGCGAUCCAUUUCCACAGCUACAUCUAUAAUGUUACAUCUGACAGACAGGUUCAAAAUCUCGCAUCACCAUUCUACAUUAUUCACUCUUUUUCAAGUACAAAUCAGAGCAAUAGAUCAUUACUUAUAUACCUCUCUUGACGGUUUUUGAAGAGAAAACUGGAAUGCAGCAGAUCAUAUGUUCGAGGGUACGUACUCAAUGACUCGCACCAGUCAUGAUAGAUUCCGAUCAAGCCCCUUUCGAAAAUAAUGGACAAGGUAUCUUGUGCAUCAAUUGGUACAACAUUCAUCACCCAGAGAGGAAGCUCAUUAAGUGCCGCCGCAAACCUGUAAAACCACAAUGCGUAUGGUGUUGUAAGAUUUCUUUAUGACAGAAACCUGUAAAAACAUAGUUCUAUUUCUUACCCUCCAUAACCAGCAUUCAUAUCCAUCACAUUUCUUAAACUAGCCCAGUUUAUAGCUAGAGCAUCAAAAUAGACAUCAGAUACAAGUGCAGCCCAAUGUUUGGUGUCCUCAUUGAAUAUAGCUUCGGCAUCUGCUUCAGCUGGAAGGCUUUGAGGCUUAUUCUUAAGCCUGUGGGGCCAUGGUGAGGGCCAGCCAAGCAAAUUACCGUUGCUAUCAACUGGAAGUCUGGAAGUACAAUGCCUAAGAGGCUUGUACCUGUCAUUGUGAAUUAGAAAUCUCAAGAAGCAAUUUCAACAUAAUUAGAAGGUAGCAUCUUUUAUGCCAACAUUAUUUUAGGACAGAACACUCUGUCUACACAUAACAAGUGGCACACAGAGCUGUGAACAUGUUGAAGCAUGCCUUUCGAGUGUAAGCAAUGUAAUAAUAUUAUAUACUAGAUCAUAAAAGAUUACCAUGAGACUUCCUUCUUAGUUUUCUGAUCACAUAAUGGUGGACGUUUUGUUCUGUCGUGUGCAUAACAGGAAUAUGAGGAAGGCUUUUGAUAUAUUACAAGCCCAAUUUCAGUUGAAUCAAAAUUGUCACGUUUAGCCACAACCUUCCAGCAGAUUGAUUGUGUCAAAGCCAC
Molecule: long non-coding RNA, 1123 nt
Filed under: Gossypium barbadense (sea-island cotton)
Lineage: Eukaryota; Viridiplantae; Streptophyta; Magnoliopsida; Malvales; Malvaceae
Description: long non-coding RNA (GBAR_LNC004493)
Source: RNAcentral